Molecule: ribosomal RNA, 383 nt
Filed under: Trebouxia sp.
Lineage: Eukaryota; Viridiplantae; Chlorophyta; Trebouxiophyceae; Trebouxiales; Trebouxiaceae
Description: SSU rRNA
Rfam family: Eukaryotic small subunit ribosomal RNA
Source: RNAcentral
AGCUCCAAUAGCGUAUAUUUAAGUUGUUGCAGUUAAAAAGCUCGUAGUUGGAUUUCGGAGAGGUACUGCUGGUCUGCCGUUUCGGUAUGCACUGGCAGCGCCUCUCUUGCUGCCGGAAACGGGCUCCUGAGCUUAAUUGCUCGGGACUCGGUGUCGGCGAGGUUACUUUGAGUAAAUUAGAGUGUUCAAAGCAGGCCUACGCUCUGAAUACAUUAGCAUGGAAUAACACGAUAGGACUCUGGCCUAUCUCGUUGGUCUGUGGGACCGGAGUAAUGAUUAAGAGGGACAGUCGGGGGCAUUCGUAUUUCAUUGUCAGAGGUGAAAUUCUUGGAUUUAUGAAAGACGAACUUCUGCGAAAGCAUUUGCCAAGGAUGUUUUCAUUA